RNAcentral lists this ribosomal RNA (328 nucleotides) under uncultured Spirochaetota bacterium. Its description in RNAcentral is "bacterial SSU rRNA". It matches the Rfam family "Bacterial small subunit ribosomal RNA", at positions 28 to 351 of the family's 1533-position model. The record is from RNAcentral. Lineage: Bacteria; Pseudomonadati; Spirochaetota.
AACGAACGCUGGCGGCGCGUUUUAAGCAUGCAAGUCGGACGGUAGGCGAGUGGCAACACUUGCUGAGAGUGGCGAACGGGUGAGUAAGACGUAGGUGAUCUACCCCUGGAUGGGGGAUAGUCCGUGGAAACACGGGGUAAUACCGCAUGAGGCCUUGGGGGUAAAGCCCCGAGGUGAAAGCUCCAAUUGGAGCGUCUGGGGAUGAGCCUGCGGCCCAUUAGGCAGUUGGCGGGGUAACGGCCCACCAAACCGACGAUGGGUAGCCGGCCUGAGAGGGUGUACGGCCACACUGGAACUGAGACACGGUCCAGACUCCUACGGGUGGCUG